AGUUGUAAAUUACACUGCACGAGGGGAAGUCAGUUUCUGGUGAGUUUUGAGAGUCAGUUUCUGAUUCGGCUGAGCUCAGCAAAACUAUGUGCCAACUAAUAACUACAAAAACUUCAAAUGCCAUCAAACCGAGGGCAUGAAAAGUUUAAAGAAAAGAUAACAAAAUAUAAAACUACCUCGACAACAACAGUCGAUGAGGAGGAGGUCCGAGAUUCGAGGACCGGCGAAGAAGCAUAAAAAAUUCAACGAAAACACUGGACAAGAUGGGAUGGUAUAGGAUUGGGAAUGUGGUCGGGGUACUUCGAAUGGAGUGGCUGCCCAACCUUCAUGCCUAUAAAUCCAUCGAAAUAAUGGAUCGGAUAAGAGGCGCGCAUUCGAGAUGAGUUCCAGUCGCGCCGUCAAGUGGGUUGAGUGCCCACACGAUGGCCAUUCCCAUUCCCAUUUCCAUUGCCAUUCGCAUUGCCUGAGAUACAGAUACAGACGGUUGGGCAAAUGAAAAGAUUGAAAGAUGGGGCGAUGGAAAGACUGGCUGGAAAGAGGGGCCUCAUCCUCAAUCUUCGCUGAGCCACCGCAACGAAUGGGCCAACGAGAUGGGAAGGGGCUGCAAAUGGGGCCGGCAUUGGGUAUAUCUGGUAUCUGGCAUUAUCUGUAUCUCUCGGAUACACUUGGCUUGGCCCAGCCCGGCCUGGCCGGUUCAACGUACGUUCCAUGUGCAACGCCAGCGGAAAUGGCAGCGACAAACCGAGAGGAAAAUGGCAACAACUAUGGCGCAUCGAAAGUGGCUUUUAACCCCUGUUGCCCGACAGCCGCCAUCUGGACCAUAUGCCGCCAUCCCAAAACCUAAUCCUAACGCACGAGCGUCGAAAUCCCUAACCCACCACCCGAGCCAACCUCCUUUUUGGCCUCAUCAAAAAUUCCAAAUACGUUUCAAAUUUAAUAUGUGCAUUUAUCCCGGUCGCCGGAUCGCAGUUUCCCCACUGAUUGCGAGUGGUGUUCGCUUCACUCCUUGGCGCUCCUUUAUGGGGCUUAAAUAUGUAUAACCCGGGGGCUCCGUACGUGUCUGCGUUAUACGUAAUAUUUCGACUAAAAAUUCACGCCCUGCGUUAUUCUAUCAACACCUCCGCAUUGUUGUUGUAGUGUUCACCCCUUCCCGCGGCUGGAAAAACGAUGGCGGCCUCGCAUACGAAAUGAGAUUUGUGGCAGCCCAGCACGAAGUUUUCGGAGUUUGGGCCCCAGGAUUUUCUGGCGGGGAUGCGGUGCAAUGGGGAUUACGGAUAAGACCCGGACCGGGCUUACGUGUCAGCUGUGUGGCUGUACACGCUGGCAUAAAUACAUAUUUCAUAUGUAUUUCGUGCAUAUUUCGUUAUUCAUGCUCGUAAACUAACCGAGCUCGGCUUCAGGUGCAUUUUACAAAGUCAUUAGCCCAGUAAUAACCAUAUUGAUGUGAAGUCUUGUUU
Molecule: non-coding RNA, 1457 nt
Organism: Drosophila melanogaster (fruit fly)
Lineage: Eukaryota; Metazoa; Arthropoda; Insecta; Diptera; Drosophilidae
Source: Ensembl